RNAcentral lists this transfer RNA (77 nucleotides) under Escherichia coli. RNAcentral describes it as "tRNA-Arg". It matches the Rfam family "tRNA". From Rfam's summary of the family: Transfer RNA (tRNA) molecules are approximately 80 nucleotides in length. Their secondary structure includes four short double-helical elements and three loops (D, anti-codon, and T loops). The record is from RNAcentral. Lineage: Bacteria; Pseudomonadati; Pseudomonadota; Gammaproteobacteria; Enterobacterales; Enterobacteriaceae.
GCGCCCUUAGCUCAGUUGGAUAGAGCAACGACCUUCUAAGUCGUGGGCCGCAGGUUCGAAUCCUGCAGGGCGCGCUA